RNAcentral lists this ribosomal RNA (484 nucleotides) under uncultured bacterium. RNAcentral describes it as "partial 16S ribosomal RNA". It matches the Rfam family "Bacterial small subunit ribosomal RNA", at positions 43 to 523 of the family's 1533-position model. The record is from RNAcentral.
CAUGCCUAACACAUGCAAGUCGAACGGAACUUCUUUAAUUGAUUUCUUCGGAAUGAUUUUGAUUAAGUUUAGCGGCGGAAGGGUGAGUAACGCGUGAGUAACCUGGUUCUGAGAGGGGAAUAACAUUCUGAAAAGAAUGCUAAUACCGCAUAACAUAUAUUUAUCGCAUGGUAGAUAUAUCAAAGAUUUAUCGCUCAGAGAUGGACUCGCGUCCGAUUAGUUAGUGGGUGAGGUAACGGCUCACCAAGACCGCGAUCGGUAGCCGGACUGAGAGGUUGAACGGCCACAUUGGGACUGAGACACGGCCCAGACUCCUACGGGAGGCAGCAGUGGGGGAUAUUGCGCAAUGGGGGAAACCCUGACGCAGCAACGCCGCGUGAAGGAUGAAGGUCUUCGGAUUGUAAACUUCUUUUAUUAAGGACGAAGAAAGUGACGGUACUUAAUGAAUAAGCUCCGGCUAACUACGUGCCAGCCGCCGCCGUAA